AACAGGCACAAUGACAAAAGUACAGUGUCUGUUGGGGUAUCGGGGGGCAGGACCUCACUUUCUCCUCUCUGCUCGCUCUCCAGGGAGCACCCUAUUGGAGACAAGAGCUUCCAGAACUACAUCAGGCAGCAGUCUGAGAUCUCAACCCAUUCCAUUUAAGGUCACAGCACUUCCCAGAACGGUGCUGUUGAGCCACACCAGGAAAAAGCAGACGAAAGAAGACAGAAUACAUACAUGGAGAGGAACCAUGUUCACCCGUUCACUCGGGCCCCACCACGCUGGCGGGGCCACCGAGAGCCAAGCAUGCUCCUUCCCCAGCAGGAACUGUUGCCUGGGCUGUGCACGCCCCUCCGCUGCCAGCACAGGUGGUCUGAGCCAUCCUGGAAUGUAUGAGCAUCGUCUUUUUACUCCUUUAAUCGUACAGGGAUCCAGGGAUCUGUUAAAUAGUAGGGAACUGUGGACUCUGUCUAAAUCUGUUCCCCCCGUGGUCCAGCCCCUCUUUGCAGCGGCACAUGGUUCGUCCAUGUUAGCGUGCACCUUCUGUAGUGUGCACUGUCUCUUGUUCCUUGCCUGCUGGUCUCUAUUACAUGUAGCCGUCUGGCCCUCGCCC
RNAcentral lists this long non-coding RNA (610 nucleotides) under Rattus norvegicus (Norway rat). RNAcentral describes it as "long non-coding RNA NONRATT012131". The record is from RNAcentral. Lineage: Eukaryota; Metazoa; Chordata; Mammalia; Rodentia; Muridae.